RNAcentral lists this long non-coding RNA (236 nucleotides) under Elaeis guineensis (African oil palm). Its description in RNAcentral is "long non-coding RNA (EGUI_LNC064955)". The record is from RNAcentral. Lineage: Eukaryota; Viridiplantae; Streptophyta; Magnoliopsida; Arecales; Arecaceae.
GGUGCCUGAUGCCUCUUUGGCAGAUGCGAAGGCUCGAUCUCAAAUGCUGCCCUCUUCUUGACAACAUGCUGACGAAUAUCAGCAUCCGACACACAUACUCUUUGCUGCAUAGCUGUAAUUACAAUGGAGGUCAGUGCAAGUUGGCAAGCAGAAAGAAAAUCAAGAAUAACCAACCAAUUGUACUAUACUAUACCUAGGCGAGGAACUGAUCUAAGGCCGGUGUCAUAAAGAGCCUG